GGGGGCGACCUGGCUUCGACGUGGGUUGCGAAACCCGAGGUGCAUGCCGAGGGGCAGAUGACCUCGUAAAUCCAGCUGCAAAACCUAUAGUUGCCAACGACGACAACUACGCACUCGCCGCUUAAAACCCGGUAGGGUGCCGUCUGACUGAAGCCGUGCUUGUGCGUUCAGAGCCCUUUAUGCCCUUUAGGGUGCAAGGGGCAUUCAGGCGUCGACUCUCACAAGAUCGCGAUGAAGCACGUUCGGGGCGGAAUCGUUAAAACCUUACCGAAAUCGCCGGUUGUCUUCCCUGCCCGUCGGGUAGCGGCCGGUUAAAUCAAUAGACGCGGAUAAGCAUGUAGAGCCGAGGGCGGAGAAUUUACGGACGCGGGUUCGAUUCCCGCCGCCUCCACCA
This 394-nucleotide transfer-messenger RNA is filed under the name Gammaproteobacteria bacterium. It matches the Rfam family "transfer-messenger RNA". Rfam says of the family: Bacterial tmRNA, also known as 10Sa RNA or SsrA, is named for its dual tRNA and mRNA-like properties. Its role is to liberate the mRNA from a stalled ribosome. To accomplish this part of the tmRNA is used as a reading frame that ends in a translation stop signal. The record is from RNAcentral. Lineage: Bacteria; Pseudomonadati; Pseudomonadota; Gammaproteobacteria.